CCUACGGGAGGCAGCAGUGGGGAAUAUUGCACAAUGGGGGAAACCCUGAUGCAGCGACGCCGCGUGAGUGAAGAAGUAAUUCGUUAUGUAAAGCUCUAUCAGCAGGGAAGAAAAUGACGGUACCUGAGUAAGAAGCCCCGGCUAACUACGUGCCAGCAGCCGCGGUAAGACGUAGGGGGCAAGCGUUAUCCGGAUUUACUGGGUGUAAAGGGAGCGUAUACGGCAGUGCAAGUCUGGAGUGAAAGGCGGGGGCUCAACCCCCGGACUGCUCUGGAAACUGGACGGCUGGAGUGCAGGAGAGGUAAGUGGAAUUCCUAGUGUAGCGGUGAAAUGCGUAGAUAUUAGGAGGAACACCAGUGGCGAAGGCGGCUUACUGGACUGUAACUGACGUUGAGGCUCGAAAGCGUGGGGAGCAAACAGGAUUAGAUACCCCUGUAGUC
This 440-nucleotide ribosomal RNA is filed under the name uncultured bacterium. RNAcentral describes it as "partial 16S ribosomal RNA". It matches the Rfam family "Bacterial small subunit ribosomal RNA", at positions 338 to 795 of the family's 1533-position model. The record is from RNAcentral.